CGUGGUUUGUAUCAACUCUAACCUCUAAAAAGUGUGCAUGCUGGUGCAGUUGUGCAGCAAUUAUUUAACAAAAUAAGUAGUUUUUUAUAUGUUUUAUAACAUAUUAAUCAAUUAGUAUAGUGUUUUUAACUUAGGCAGUGUAGUAGUGAAUCGGGCGUAUUGAUUUGUGUGAUAACUAUCUGAAGAAGUUUUUACGCAUUUUCUUUACAAUGUAUAUUUCUACAUUGAAUUAUGAUGAUCCAAUUGUUGUCAAGAAGAAAUCCACACCGCUAAAGGGCAGAAGGCAGCAAAGAAAAGAAAAGUUGCAGUUUGUGUUACCACCAGUGAACAAAGAAGAUUUAUAUAUUGGUAGCUUUAUUAUGAGUAACAUUUCGGAUAACAACACAGGUUUGGAUGUAUGGAAGGUUAAAAGAUGAAGAAAUUCUCCAGGGCAUUGAAAUACAAGUGGAUUCUCCAUUUAUUAAAGCUUUAUAGCAAAGUAAAAAGUUUUACUUGGAUUUUGGAAAAUCAAAUGAAGAUGUCCUGCUGAAAACUAUGGUUCAUAAGUUUAUUAUGAGAGAUAGUAUCAAGGCGAGCAUCCAAAGGGUUACAUCAUCCAAGGAUAAGUCAAAAUGGACUCGAGCAGAAAUCACCGUUCGACAAUUCAAGGAUUUGCUGUUUGGUUCCUGGGAAACAGAUGAAGAGUUAUGUGUGAAUGCGGCAGAUGAAGUACAAGAAGAGCCUUAGAGCAUUAAAGAGUGGGGAUCUGGUUGCGCGUGUUGUUGAGUAAAUUUUUUAAUCUGUACUUACACUA
Molecule: long non-coding RNA, 793 nt
Organism: Dalotia coriaria
Lineage: Eukaryota; Metazoa; Arthropoda; Insecta; Coleoptera; Staphylinidae
Exons: 4
Source: RefSeq, a predicted model, not a curated record